Molecule: ribosomal RNA, 434 nt
Filed under: Pachybrachis suffrianii
Lineage: Eukaryota; Metazoa; Arthropoda; Insecta; Coleoptera; Chrysomelidae
Description: partial 16S large subunit ribosomal RNA
Rfam family: Bacterial large subunit ribosomal RNA
Source: RNAcentral
GUCUUUAUGAUGAUAAUAUAAAGUCGGGCCUGCCCAAUGAUUAAAUUGAAUGGCCGCAGUAUUUUGACUGUGCUAAGGUAGCAUAAUCAUUAGUUUUUUAAUUGAAAACUGGAAUGAAAGGUUUGAUGAGAAAAUAGCUGUCUCUUUAUUUUAUAUAGAAUUUUAUUUUUGAGUUAAAAAGCUCAAAUUUUCUUGAGGGACGAGAAGACCCUAUAGAGUUUCAGGAUUAAUCUAUUUAAAGAAGAAUUGCUUAUUAUAUAAUUUAUUUAUUUAAUCUUUUGAUUGGGGUGAUUGAAAAAUUAAUUAAACUUUUUCUUGGGUAAACAUUAAUUAAUGGUUAAAUUGAUCCUGUAAAACUGAUUAAAAGAAAUAAUUACCUUAGGGAUAACAGCGUAAUCUUUUUUUAGAGCUCUAAUCGAGAAAAGGGGUUGCGA